RNAcentral lists this ribosomal RNA (502 nucleotides) under uncultured archaeon. RNAcentral's name for it is "bacterial SSU rRNA". It matches the Rfam family "Archaeal small subunit ribosomal RNA", at positions 876 to 1382 of the family's 1478-position model. The record is from RNAcentral.
GCACCACAAGAGGUGGGACCUGCGGUUCAAUUGGAUUCAACGCCGGAAAACUCACCAGGGGCGACAGUUGGAUGAAAGCCAGGUUGACGACCUUGCCCGACUAGCUGAGAGGUGGUGCAUGGCCAUCGUCAGCUCGUACCGUGAGGCGUCCUGUCAAGUCAGGCAACGAGCGAGAUCCUCGCCCUUAGCUGCCAUCGGUGGAAAAGCCGGGCACUCUAGGGGGACCGCUGGCGCUAAGUCAGAGGAAGGAGAGGGCGACGGUAGGUCAGUAUGCCCCGAAUCCCCUGGGCUACACGCGGGUCACAAUGCGCAGGACAAUGAGAUGCAACCCCGUGAGGGGAAGCCAAACCCAUAAACCUGCGCUCGGUUCGGAUCGAGGGCUGUAACUCGCCCUCGUGAAGCUGGAAUCUCUAGUAAUCGCGUGCCAACACCGCGCGGUGAAUGCGUCCCUGCUCCUUGCACACACCGCCCGUCAAACCAUCUGAGUGAGGUUUGGAUGAGG